Molecule: ribosomal RNA, 421 nt
Filed under: uncultured Actinomycetes bacterium
Lineage: Bacteria; Bacillati; Actinomycetota; Actinomycetes
Description: bacterial SSU rRNA
Rfam family: Bacterial small subunit ribosomal RNA
Source: RNAcentral
CUAUCAGCUUGUUGGUGAGGUAAUGGCUCACCAAGGCAACGACGGGUAGCCGGCCUGAGAGGGCGACCGGCCACACUGGGACUGAGACACGGCCCAGACUCCUACGGGAGGCAGCAGUGGGGAGUAUUGGGCAAUGGACGCAAGUCUGACCCAGCGACGCCGCGUGCGGGAUGAAGGCCUUCGGGUUGUAAACCGCUUUCAGCAGGGAAGAAGCGAAAGUGACGGUACCUGCAAAAGAAGCACCGGCUAACUAUGUGCCAGCAGCCGCGGUAAUACAUAGGGUGCAAGCGUUGUCCGGAAUUAUUGGGCGUAAAGAACUCGUAGGUUGUUUGUUACGUCGGAUGUGAAAAUCUGGGGCUCAACCCCAGACCUGCAUUCGAUACGGGUGAACUAGAGUUUGGUAGGGGAGACUGGAAUUCCU